GGGCCCGCACAAGCGGUGGAGCAUGUGGCUUAAUUCGAGGCAACGCGAAGAACCUUACCUGGUCUUGACAUGCCCGUCAUAGUUUUCCGAAAGGAAUUCGUCAGUUCGGCUGGACGGUGCACAGGUGCUGCAUGGCUGUCGUCAGCUCGUGUCGUGAGAUGUUCGGUUAAGUCCGGCAACGAGCGCAACCCUCGUUUCCAGUUGCCAGCGGGUAAUGCCGGGGACUCUGGAAAGACAAACCUCUUGUUGAGGUGGGAAGGUGGGGACGACGUCAAGUCAGUAUGGCCCUUACGACCAGGGCUGCACACGUGCUACAAUGCCCGGUACAAUGGGAUGCAAUAUCGCGAGAUUGAGCCAAUCCAUAAAGCCGGGCCCAGUUCGGAUUGGAGUCUGCAACUCGACUCCAUGAAGUUGGAAUCGCUAG
RNAcentral lists this ribosomal RNA (424 nucleotides) under uncultured bacterium. RNAcentral describes it as "bacterial SSU rRNA". It matches the Rfam family "Bacterial small subunit ribosomal RNA", at positions 917 to 1338 of the family's 1533-position model. The record is from RNAcentral.